GGGUUGUUGUGGUUCUGGUUCUGGAAGGAACCAGGUCCUGGAGGAGGCAAGAAGGGCUGCAGUGCCGGGCAGGGAGGCCCUGCCCCUUGGGCAGGAAGGACCAUCUGUGGAUGCUAUGGCUCCUAGCCAAGGACUCUUCCUGCAUACACUGGCAAAUCUCUCCACCUGCAACAACUUCUCCCCUGACUCUACUCAUUUCUAAAUUUUCACUUUUUAAUUUAA
Callorhinus ursinus (northern fur seal) is the source of this 222-nucleotide non-coding RNA. NCBI's taxonomy places the organism in Eukaryota, Metazoa, Chordata, Mammalia, Carnivora, Otariidae. The record is from RefSeq and is a predicted model, not a curated record.